Molecule: ribosomal RNA, 301 nt
Filed under: uncultured bacterium
Lineage: Bacteria
Description: partial 16S ribosomal RNA
Rfam family: Bacterial small subunit ribosomal RNA
Source: RNAcentral
CAGUCGCCGCGGGAAUACGGAGGGUCCAAGCGUUAUCCGGAUUUAUUGGGUUUAAAGGGUGCGUAGGUGGCCUGUUAAGUCAGGGGUGAAAGACGGUAGCUCAACUAUCGCAGUGCCCUUGAUACUGAUGGGCUUGAAUGAACUAGAGGUAGGCGGAAUGUGACAAGUAGCGGUGAAAUGUAUAGAUAUGUCACAGAACACCAAUUGCGAAGGCAGCUUACUAUGGUUUUAUUGACACUGAGGCACGAAAGCGUGGGGAUCAAACAGGAUUAGAUACCCGUGUAGUCCCUGUCUCUUAUAC